Molecule: long non-coding RNA, 19420 nt
Filed under: Malus domestica (apple)
Lineage: Eukaryota; Viridiplantae; Streptophyta; Magnoliopsida; Rosales; Rosaceae
Description: long non-coding RNA (MDOM_LNC010016)
Source: RNAcentral
UCCCAUCAUUCCCAAUCCUUUGGAAUUGGCUGCAUUGACAACUUAUUUGGAAGUGUUGAGAGUCUUGAUUUACAGCUUUUUCGAACUAAAGAAUGUCGAGACAUGUUGUUACAUCCCCGCAAUGGAGCUGAAGAUCUAUUGAGGAACCUCAAAUUGAAAUAUGAUCAAUGUGAGCCCCCACGGUACUUUAAGUGUUCUAAUCGAUAUUGCUGCAAUUUUGCACAAAGGUUUAGUUAUUACGAAACUGUUCAUUGUUGUUGUGGGGGUCUGAUGAAAGUGGAGACCAUUUUUACAACGAAACAAGCUGAAGGUGGUGGGGUUUUUGUGGCAGGACCAGGGAGAUUUAUUAUUAGUGAUGAUUUACAGGUACUGCCUCCAUUUACUUGUGCAGUAUCUUCUGUAGUUUCGAACCAUGGACUCAUGGGCUGGAAAAGCGUUGAGGAACUGACUUUUAAUGUGGGAGUUGAUGAGGUAAAUGAUGAUGUGUUGACAUGCAAUACCAAGUUAAAAUUUUCAACUCGAACUAAAACUCUAGUUUCUGAUCUUCACUUUUUGUUUAUUUUUUGUUUUCCAGGUUUUGAAUUUGCUUAUGCGCUCAUUAGUAUCAGAGACACCUCUGACUGAAACUCUGCUGAAGGAUAAAACCAUACCAAACAUGAUUGAUGAAAACCUUGACCAAGAUUUAUGCAUUGAAUAUCGAGAGGUAGAAGGAAAAAGGAAUGAGGAAGAAGAAAAGAUUUCUAUCAAACUUAUAGUUAGCAAAUCUAAGAAGAAGGUUUAUUAUGCCGAAGUGGGGGAGGAUUUUGUCAAUUUACUCUUCAGUUUCUUGACUCUUCCACUAGGGUUUGUAAUAAAACAAAUGCAACAUAACUCUUUGAAAGGUUGCAUUGACCAGCUGUACAAAAGUGUCGAAGAUCUUGAUGAGCAGUACUUGAAGUCAAAUUUACACAAGAAAAAGUUGGUGAGUCCUAAGCUCCUCCCUGGAUUUGGCUACAAGAAUCAUCUUCUGGGAAUUGAGGAAGCAUCGUAUAAAUGGACUGACUCCGUAGAACCCAAAUCCCAUUGUAAAGAAGAUUGUAUUGACUUCGUAGACCCCAAAUCCCAUCAUAAAAAAGAUGAUAAAGAUUGUGGAUUCUUGAAAGGACCGGCGAUGUUCAUGGUAACUGACAGUCUCAAUGUAAGUCCAAUAUCUGCAAUUGUCGGCAUGUCAAUUCUAUGCGAACUGAACGUACCUGUGACUGAUGUUGAGGUACGAGUGGCUCAUGUGGGGAAAGAGGAGGUGAGUCAUACCAUAAACUCUUCUAAUCAAAACACUGGUCUUGUGAAAGUGAUUCUUUAUUUGAGUCUAUACAUCUUGUUCCAAGGUUGAUGCUUUAGACAUGUUUCUCAUUGCAGGCUAUCCGUCUUUUGGUGGCUUCUUUUGUUUGUCCCUCUGCUCUAACUAGUGUCUUCCUUACGAAGCCAAAGCGAUUUGGAGGUUUAGGGUGCCUAAGUUUUCUAAUUUAAGAAGAGAAUAUGCACCUUCUGUUACAAACUUAUGUGCCUUUCUCUUUGCACUAUCAUCGUUUUGUGUUAUAUGACCCAUAUUUUGUGCUGCUUCUAGCAUAAUUAUUUAAGGGAUGCAUCUUGCUAUUUUCAGAUAAUAUUCUUGUUUUUUUUGGUUUCUCUUCAUGUCUUGCUUUCAUUGUGAAGCUAGUCAUUGAUUUCAGACAAUUAGGAAGAAAUGAAAUGAAAAAAUUGUGACUGGAGGUAGGAGAUGGAUGACUCAAGAAGAAAAGAGUACGUUGAGUCAUACGAGGAAAGCCUCGUCUGACUCUUUACUUGGACGAGACUGAUGCAAUUUCUUUUCGAGGGAAAAAAAAAGUAUGGUGAUGGCAUUGGCUCUUUUUGGUUUCCACUUUAUUCUUGUUCUAAUGCAUAUGCCUUGUCAUGCCCUGAAAUCAGGCACGUAACAGUGCCACGCCUUGUUGACAAGGUGAUACUAUAACAUGAGGACGCAAUGUUUUAAAAUCACGUUCUCGAUACUACAACAUGAGGGCGCGACGAUAUAAAAUCACGUUUCCAAUAGAACAUCAGGCAAUUAAGAGAAUACAGAAAACUGUUUAUUUUAAAACACUGCUGAAACGUAAAUAAAAUUGGUAGGCCGAAAAUAAAUUGAAAAUUCGAUUUUACUAUAUAUAUAUAUAUAGUAAAACAGUUAUCAACGUACUAACCCCCAGGUUUUAUGAAAAUACAUAUAUAUCAUGAUAAACAUAGGUUUUCCAAAACCUAGCAUAUCGUGCAUUGUCUCAAAUCAUAACUUGUAUAUAUAUAAUAAUCACUAGUGAAUGUCCAAUAUAACCCUCAGGCCCCAUGCCAGCUCCCCGUCUCUGAGCAGACAGUCAGAGGAAAAUAACCCUCAGGCCCCAUGCUGGCUCCCCGUCCCUGUGCUAGAUAGCCAGAGGAAACACACUCCAGGCCCUAUGCCAACACCAAACCGUUGCCCGGGACGGACCCGAAUCUAUCCCUACGUCCCGUAGCGGAAAUGACCACUAGGUAAGUACAAAACCAUUGAACAUAUAUAUUGAAAAGCAACUUCAUAGUAUAAAGUCAUCCGUCAUCUCUACUAUAAAGAGGUGUUCGAAACAUGUUCUAAAUAUCAUAUCGUCAUCCAUCAGAUAUUCUAUAAGAACACGUGUUAUAGGAAAAAUAGUAAUAAUUCAAAUUAGCCUCAGUAAGCAUGUUAUCUCGCAAAACGUUUCAUAAAACGUAAUUAUUAAAUCAUGUUUUUCAUAUAUGCAUUUCUACUAUCAAAACAUGCAUUUUAGAAGGUUUCCACUCACAGUACUUAGCCGCCGAAAAACCAUGCUACUGGCGAAGAAGGAAACACCACAAUUAAUUGCCCCUAAGCACAUACAUGGUACAUUUAGUCAAACUCUACUCAAACAACUUAAUUUGGGAAAACAAACAUCGGAAACGGGUUCAGAACAUUGAAAUUAGCCUAUGAGAGGUCUCGAACGAAAACCCUAAAAGUCAAAGUUGAUAGUUGACCAUCAAAGUCAAAGUAAACGUUGACCGGUCAAAGUCAAAGUCAACGGUCAGACCUAGUCAAAGUCAACGGGUCAUGGGUUCGGGUUGGACCAGGUCAAUCGAGUCACGGGCCUAGGUUAAAUGGUUUUGGGCCGGACCGAGUUGGGCUUGGGUUUAAAAGGGAAAUGGGUUUAGAUAAUUAGGUGGGUUGGGUUAGGGUUUAAGCUACAAGAGCCCAAAGGCCCAAUCUCCUCACGGUCCGAAGGCCUGCCACAAAGGUUAAAGGGUUUAGGGGUUUAGCGGGCCAAGGCCUUAAGUGAAACGGCCCGAAGGCCUUUAGGUCUUUAAGGAAUUAAAACAAAAAUAAAAAUGGAACAGGAUAGGGUAUUGGGUUGAAACAAAACGGGCUUAAGGCCCGUGGGUUGAGGAACGGCCUGAAGGGCCAGUCUCGACGGAAGAAGGCACCAGAGCUUCUACAGCACCGGCCGACUGCAAAUGGAAACCCUAGACUCCGAUCUAGGUAUCAAAAUGAAGCACAAGGUGAGAGAAGUGUGAUUAUACCUUUGGUUUGCCGUAGAACGGUCAGAGGUGAUCGGAAAUAUCCUCGACACCCACGGUUUUGCCAGAGUUGAGUGUGCUUUCCACCAAGCCGAUCUCGUUCCAAAACCUUGGAAAUCACGAGUAUAACACUUAAUAAAUCACACCCAAGCUUCAACUAGAACGAAAGGAGAUAAACCCAAAGCUUACCUAACCGGAGAAAAUGAAGAGAGAGAAAGAUGAGGUUUUGAUGGUGAUGCCGUCAACGGAACGAAGGUGUGAGUGCAAGUGUACUUGGGUGAUCACGAGAAAGAGUGUGAGAAUGAUGAGAGGGUUUCGAGAGAGAAGAGAGUGUGCAGAGAGAGAGUGAAGAAAGUGAGAGCUGAGAGAGGUCUCGGGGUGAGGGAAAGGAAAGGGAGUGAUGGGUGCUGCCACAUGGCAGUUUGAUGGAGUUUGAGAAUCAAGAUAGAGGGUCCAUAUUUGGUUAAGAAAGAGGACUAAAUACAUAAUUUCAUUAAACUUUUGGGGAAAACACGUAAUUAUACAUAUAAUUUGGGGUUGGGUGUAACAAACUAUCCACUACGCGAAUCUCGAAAUUCAAACUCAUAUAACAAUGAUAAAUAAAGUGAUGAGCAUACACCAUAGUUAUAGUAGUGAGCAACAAUGCACUCAUUUUUAUUAAAGCAAAUUCACUUUGUUGCCACUCAUCCUAGUCCACGUGUUUUACACCGUCAAUUCCCAUAUUGUCUAUUAUAAAUUCAUUUGUUCUCCCAAAAAUGUUCCAGAAAAUGCUACAAACUCAUAAUGACAUCCACCAUCUUCUUCUGAACACCUUUUUGGACAAAACAAUAUGAAUAUAUUUUCUAAAAAUUUCCUUCUUCCUUGAUAAUAAAUUCUUCUUUGGAUCUCACAUCCAAGGCUCCAACUGAGUGUGACAAAGUUUUAUAUGAAAAUGGCUUGAGCUAACUAGUGUCAUUAAUUCAUGAUUGGAAUAAAUCAGUAAAUAGCUUCACAAUGAUAACAACACACACACAAAAAGCAAUAAUUAAACAAAAAGCCUUAUUAAUAUUGGAUUAUGGAUGUAGCUUUUUGGAAAGUGAUAGUGUUCAAAUAUAACUCCUUUGAAUUAAUCAUGUACAAUGUUUACAACCUAAAUAGGGUUUGAGAAAACUCAUGUGGUAGGAAUCUUAAUUUAAUUACAAUUGAUAUAUAUUUUUUUAAUCACAGAAAAGAUUCUGUAUUAAUUACUUCUAUUCUUAUAGAGAGACUAAUUAUCUAGGGUUUUGUGUUUGCAUGUUAUGGAUUUAGGUACUUGGAGCUUUUUGGUACCUUUUUUCUAUUCAACGAGAGGUAUUUUCUAUUCAACGAGAGGUAUCAUGUUGGCAUGAGACAUGUGUAAAUCCUAGUAUAGAUCCCAAGGGAUGUACGGAUGCUUACUGCGAUAGUCGGAGUACUACUGCAAGAAAUAUAACACUUCUAAAUGAGCAUUGCCCGUUGGAUACUUCAGAUGGUGCUUUAUCUUCAUUUAACUUUGGAAUAUUCCUUGAUUCACUUAAGAAUCAAAACACAGAGCAGAAAAAGUUUAUAGAGAAGUUCCUUUACUCUUUCUGGUGGGGCCUGCGAAAUCUAAGGUUCACAGUAUAUCCAUUGACGAUCAACAAUUUCUGGAGAAUAUGUAACAAAUACAUUUUUUUGGGGUUAUCUAAUUCUGCAACAUUGUCUAAUAUGUACCUACAAUAUUUUGCAGUAAUUUUGGGACGAAUCUGACAACAAGUACGUAUGUCUGGGAAAACUUAUUUGCAAUUCUUAUUUCUUUCAUUGGCUUGCUACUGUUUUUAUAUCUCAUCGGCAAUGUACAGGUUGGUAUAUACUGAAUCUCACAGUUUUAUUUUUCAAUCGUUUUUCUUUAGGUCCCGUGUCUUAUUCAAAUAUUUGUGAAAUGGUGGGUAAAUUCAAAAUCCAAUUUUGUGAGGUAUUAUUAAGAAUAGUACACUUUUUAAAUAUAGGUACUAUUAUCUUUUUAUUAAAUUUUCGAUAAAACAGAAAAUUUUAAAGAAUUGUAAUAUCGAAAUCGUAAGAAUUAAAUCCUUUAAAUCAUGCUGCAUUCAAUAUUUUUUACAUAUUUAAUAUAUCUACAUCAUAGAUUUUUUUUGUCGAUAAUCUACCUAUAUCAUAGAUAAACUGUGUUUAGCUACCUAUACUAUAGAUAUUUUUUGCUUGUGAUCUACCUCUUCAAAAUUAGUUGUAUUAGAUUCUAUCUUAAAUAUGUUUCGCUUAAACUUUUGUGUAGUCUUGUUAUGAUAUAGAUAUGUUACAAUUGGACUCAAAUUAAAAAAGGAGCUUCGAUUUUUGGACCUGAACUUAAAUGUGCCAUUUCAAAUUAUAUAAGAUACGUAAGUUCUUUGGUGAAACAUACCUUUCUAGUAUGUAGCUAGCUAGGACAUAGGAGAUCAUGGAUCGAGCUUAUUAAUGAAUUCUACUUGUGGUGAGGCAGACUUUAAUACAGAUGGAGGCUACAAAAUCGGAAGAGACAAGACGAAAGAUUCGGAUAAAGAAAGUAGAUGUACGCACGUGGAUAUCCGUAUAUAAAUUCCCUGAUAAUAUCAAGAAAGAAAUCGAGAAUAGCAUAGAGCAAGCAUGGGUAAAAGACAAAUAUGCUGAUGUCCACAACCCAUUCAUUAUUCUUCCUAAUAAGACCAAAGACUCUGUAAAACGCCAUCUUUUCAUGGAUACACUUAGAACAGUAUGUUCUUCAAGAAUCGAUCUCUCUCCAUUUAUUAAUUGCUUCCAUUUUUACUGCAAUGUUGUUCUGAUGAUAUAUGUCUGUGUGUGCGCGCACGUGCAUAGGUAAAAGUGCUUAAAUACAUGGAUGAAUAUGUGUUGACGUUGCUGUGCAACUAUCUAAAGCCAAUGACGUACAAUGAGAACAGCUUUGUUUUUCGAACUGGAGAUCCACUCGAUUGCAUGGUGUUCAUUAUCGAAGGGACAAUGUGGACCUACGCGGCGAGUGAUAGUCAAGUUGGGCAAGGAAUCUCAUCAACGGCCAUCAAUCGCCUCGGGAAAUGUCACUUUUACGGGGAAGAGCUUCUCGAUCGGGCAUCAGACUGGUUCACCGAACUUCCAGUCUCCAGCAAACAUGUCAAAAGUCUGACAAAAGUAGAAGCAUUUGUGCUCAUGGCCAAGGACUUGGAAGCUGUAAUCUCCAGAUGCCCACUACAGUGGGAGAACGGCGAGAAGAAGGGUUCUCAAAAGGUGAAGGGCAUGGCAGCUUCUACCAUAGCAACAGCAUUCCGUCGUCAUAGAGAGCAAUCGAAACCUUAUAAGUAGAGUGCUUGAUGUUAGAUAUGUUUUGAGAUCAAUAAGAAGACCUUAGCACCAGUGGUUUAUUGUGGUUUAUAAACUUAGGCGGCUUCUACUUCACACGAUGAAAUAGUCUUUAACCCCAUGUUAUAGAGAGAUUUUUCAAUAUGAUUAGUACACGAGAUGGUACAUCAUGUGUCAUUAUAAAAAUGAUAGGAUAUGUGUGCUAAAAGGUUAAUAACACAAGAAAAUAUGAAAGUUCAAAGGAAGAUACAUAAAUUUGUAAAAUAAAGUGCAUGAUCUCUUCUUAAAUUAGAAAACCAAGGCAUCCCAAUUGUGGGAGGAUAAAACCUAAUUUCGACUCAUGGGCCGAUCAUCUAAGGAAAAAGAGUUGUGCAAAAUAAAAAGCCCACAAGAAAUAAGCACAAGGGUGCGUGCCGAGGUAACUACCCCACUACGGAAGAGAAGUGGGAGAGGAAGACAGGUCAUGGGACUUGUUCCCAAAGCAUGUAGUGAUAUGACGAUGACCACUAAGGAAGUGGGGAAGGAAGACGAUCGCGGUACUUGAAUCUCAAGUACAAAAUCCUAUAAAUAGGGAGAGAAGCAAAAGAACCAGGUAUGUGAGGAGUACCCGAGAAAAUCCAAAGAAUAGAAAUCAAUUAGCUGACUUGAGCGUCGGAGUAUCUUUUGCAGGUACUCGCGCCAGACUGCGGAGGAAGAUUAUUUUGGGACAUCUCGAAGAAGGAUUCGGCGAACGUGAGGAUUGCGGUCAACAAAUCUGUGGAGGUAUUUCUUCUUGUAGGAAAUUUCACUCUAACAGUUGGCGCCGUCUGUGGGAACGCAACAAAAUCAAGCUAUAAACAUGACUGGAUCCACACAAGAAGUUCCAAAUCCUUCUGAAGAUACAAGGACUCGAUCGGUACACGCAAGGUCUCAAUCCCAAAAUAUUGAACCUUGUCUCGCCAUGGAACAAUUUAGAAGGCUAACGAGGGAAUUGCGUGAAACAAAAAAGACAGCAGAGGAGGCGUUGAAGAAGGCUGAAGCGAAAAAGGCAGUAGAAGGUGCAACCGGCACCAAGAGACAACGUGCAGAAGAGGAAGAUAAGGGGGGCAGCUCUAGUAGCGCGCCAUACAGUAACCGUGUUGAAGUGACGAAAAAUCAGGGCGAAGAGGAUCACAGGGGAAAAGGAUCGAAAAAGGUAAAGGAUGUUGAUUUGCGAGAACAAAUUGAGAAGAUUGUGAAGGGAUACAAGCCCCAGACCCUGGCAGAACUUGCCUUGGAAGCAGCCAGAGGGAUUCGCAAAUCGCCGUUCACAGAGAACAUCCUGAAAGCUAAAAAACCUGCCAAGUUCACCCAACCAAAGUUUAGGCUAUUCGAAGGUGCAACUGAUCCCGUCGAACACAUUUACCACUUUCAACAACAAAUGGCGCUUGAAGGAGACGAUGAGGCCCUAAUGUGCAAGUUGUUCCCCUCAAGUCUUUCGGGGUCAUCGUUAACUUGGUUCAGGCAACUGAAACUGAGGUCUAUUGGAAGUUUCACAGAGCUUUGCGAAGCAUUCAUAUCCCAAUAUGUCUGCAAUCAGAGGCCAAGAAAAGAUAUUACGAUCUUGUUCAACACCAAACAAAAUGUUGGUGAGAGCCUCAAAAGCUACAUGACUAGGUUCACCGAAGAGAUGUCCACCCUAGCAGAAUGUGAUUCCCACACUGCGUCUUUGGCAUUCCGAGAAGGGGCGUUGCCUGGAACAAAGAUGCGUAGGUCAUUGAUCGAAACGCCACCACUGGACAUGAGGGAGGUGAUGGCCCGAGCUGAUGGAAUCAUCAGAUUAGAGGAAGAGGAAUUUAUCCAAUCAAAGCAGGCCACCGCGACUAUUGUUACAUCUCCAGCGGGCACUACCACGAAAGAUUUGAGUGGGUAUUGAGAAAAGUCAUGGAAAACAAAAAAGAUUUGAAUGUAGGGAAACUUGGACGCAUAUGGGAAUGACCAUAUGAGGUGACUGAAGCUUUCGGAAAUGGAGCUUAUAAACUCAGGCACGUAGAAACAGGUCAGUAUGUGCCGCACCUAUGAAGGGCAAUUCAUUUGAGAAAGUACCACAUUUAGCUUCUCGUGUUUAUGUUUUCCGUAUUUAAAUUUCUGUUUCUAGCAAUGUUGAAGGGUAAAUCCCUUAUUGUCUUCCUUGCAUGUCAAAGGGGAUGUCCCUGGAUGUCUGUUGACAUCUCUUCAUUGUAUGAUAAAUAAAGUUGCACUUUAUUCGAAUCUUAGACUAAAGUCUAAAGCUGAAGAGUAUAAACCAAGGGAUGAUGAUCGAAUCAAGAUCGGAUGGGCAGAGACCCAAUCAAGAUCGGAAAUCUAAGAUCAUGUGGGGAAAGAAAACCCAAGAUCGGAUGGGCAGAGACCCAAUCAAGAUCGAAAUUCUAAGAUCGAGUGGGAAAAGAAAACCCAAGAUCGGAUGGGCAGAGACCCAAUCAAGAUCGGAAAUCUAAGAUCGUGUGGGGAAAGAAAACCCAAGAUCGGAUGGGCAGAGACCCAAUCAAGAUCGGAAAUCUAAGAUCGAGUGGGAAAAGAAAACCCAAGAUCGAAUGGGCAAAGACCCAAUCAAGAUCGAGAAUCUAAGAUCGAGCGGGAAAAGAAAACCCAAGAUCGAAUGGAAAAAGACCCAGUCAAGAUCGAAAAGGCUUGGUGAAGAAACUGAGCAGGUGAAGUGAAGGAAAAUAGGGAUGGAGGAACUCAAGGUAAUGACAUAUAAAUAUAUACGCAUACAUGUGUAGAGAUAUAUGCAAGUAUAUGAGAAGUAAGUGCAGAGAUUUGCAUGUCGUACGCAAAGGUAUGCCUGUGUUGUGUGUAAAAAUAUGCCUAUAUAUGCCAAUGUACCCAGAUAUUUGUGCAUAUAUAUAUAUAUAUAUAUAUAUAUAUAUAUAUAUAUAUAUAUACAUAUAUGUGUGUGUGUAUAGGUAGUCUGGUUAAGGAAGUGAUGUCUGCAAGUCCAGGAAAAUAUAUAUGUAGAUAGAUAGACAGGUAGCCCAAGGAUGUGAUUUAUGCAGGAAUAUACAUAGACAUAUAAGAGAGGGAAAAACAAGUGUGUCAGUGUAUAUAUAAUAUAUAUAUAUAUAUAUAUAUAUAUAUAUAUAUAUAUAUAUUGAUAUAUUGAUAUAUGUAUACAUAGGCGUGCAUAUUAGAUGUGCAGACUAGGUGUGCAGCCUAGCAUUAUGGAUUAUAUGCGUGAGGAGGAAACACACAUGGUAAAUAUUUAUAUAUGUAAAUAUAUAUAUAUAUAUAUAUAUAUGUGUGUGUGUGUGUAUGUAAAUCAGAUAAAAGUGAAUGAAGGAGUGCAGACAAGAUGGGAUAGAGAUCUAUAUAAUAAACACGUACAAGGCGUCAGUCCUCUUUCGUUAUGUCAGUCCUCUUUCGUAAUGUUCGUAAAUCCUCUUUCGUAACGAUAGGACCUCUUCCGUGAUGUCAGUCCUCUUUCGUAAUGUUCAUAAAUCCUCUUUCGUAAUGAUGGACCUCUUCCGUGACGUCAAUCCUCUUUCGUAAUGUUCGUAAAUCCUCUUUCGUAAUGAUAGACCUCUUCCGUGACGUCAGUUCUCGUUCGCCAUGUCAGUCAUCUUUCGUAAUGUUCAUAAAUCCUCUUUCGUAAUGAUGGACCUCUUCCGUGACGUCAGUCCUCUUUCGUAAUGUUCGUAAAUCUUCUUUCGUAAUGUUAGACCUCUUUCGUGAUGUCAGUCCUCAUGUGAGUUCGUAAUGUUCAUUCGUAAAUCCUCUUUCGUAAUGUUCGUUCUUCGAAAAUUUAUUUUUAGAAAAAGCAACUCCCACAAGGUUGGCAAUGCUUAAAGUUUUAGUUUGGCUUAGAGAGUACAGUUUCAAGGCCUUAUGAGAUCGAAAAACUUGGUUUUUCCCUAUUUUACAUGCGUAAAAAAGGGAAAAAAUGGGGCAUUGUGGGAGGAUAAAACCUAAUUUCGACUCAUGGGCCGAUCAUCUAAGGAAAAAGAGUUGUGCAAAAUAAAAAGCCCACAAGAAAUAAGCACAAGGGUGCGUGCGAGGUACUACCCACUACGAGAGAAGUGGGAGAAAGACAGGUCAUGGGACUUCCAAAGCAUGUAGUUAUGACGAUGACCACUAAGAAGUGGAAGGAAGAAUCGUUACUUAUCUAGUACAAAAUCCUAGAGAAAAAAAGGUUGAGGAGUCUGGCAAGGAUCGUGUCAGUCGUGUUCGUGUCGUUUUCGUGUAACACCUGUUAUCUUAACGGGUCGUGUCGUGUCACACCCGUUAUCUUAACGGGUCCUUAACAGGUCGUGUCACUUUACCCAACGGGUAAAGUGACCCGACCCGUUAUGACCCGUUAAGAAAAAUAUAUUUUUUUUCUUAAAUUUGCACAUACCACACAUUGCCACAUAAAUAUUACUUCAAAACAUUAAAACACAUUUGUCGUUUAAGUACUACAUCUACACUCGAAAAUAAGAGCCUAAUAAAAAAAUAAUACAUACACUACUAAUCUAUUACAAAUUUUAAAUGUGCAAGGAUAUGCAAAAUGAAACAGUUUUUGUUUUCAAGGUUGUGAAAUCUUUCUCAAAAGUUUAAACCUCAAUUUACAAAAUCCUCGAUUUACAUCGAUCAUCAUGAAAUUGCAUUGGAACUUUGGCUUGAUCUAUUGCCUUCAAGAGUUAUGUUGAUGAUGUUUUCAGUAAGGUUUUCCACGUCAUAACUAUCUUCUGCAUAAACUAAGCAUAGAAAAACCAAACAUUAAAAAUCAUUCAAAUUAUGAGAAGUUUACCAAAAUAAUUAUGAAAAAAAAUAAAACAAUAGUACUAUACCAUACUUUUAUUAAGUAUAAACAUAAGAUUUUGUGGUAUCCACUAGUGUAAAUAUUUUAAAUUGAAGAUCGAAUUCAAUCAUUGUAUUCAUAUAAGGUCAAGGAGUGUAGUUGUAAAAAAAUCAUCAAAAUCGGAGUUAAAUUAACCGUUAAAUCGUGAUUUUUCGUUUAUAACCGUCGAAAAGUUUUGUCCCGUUACGUGCUCUCUGAAUGUUUGUUUUUUGCAAUUUUUGGCGUAUGCGAUCUCGAAAUAUAUACAAACAUGUUUGACGGUUGGAUCAUUGAAACUAGUUUCGUAGAAUGAGUAUCCCAUCAAAACAAUAGAUUCACUAAUACUUAAGAGUUUAUUCAUACUUUUAUUAAGUAUAACAUAAGAUUUUGUGGUUUCCACUAGUGUAAAUAUUUUAAAUUGAAGAUCGAAUUCAAUCAUUGUAUUCAUAUAGGGUCAAGGAGUGUAGUUGUAAAAAAUCAUCAUCAAAAUCGGAGUUAAAAUGACCGUUAAAUCGUGAUUUUUUCGUUUAUAACCGUCGAAAAGUUUUGUCCCGUUACUUGAUCUCUGAAUGUUUGUUUUUUGCAAUUUUUGGCGUAUGCAAUCUCGAAGUAUAUAUAAACAUGUUUGACGGUUGGAUCAUUGAAACUAGUUUCGUAGAAUGAGUAUCCCAUCAAAACAAUAGAUUCACUAAUACUUAAUAGUUUAUUCAUACUUUUAUUAAGUAUAAUAUAAGAUUUUGUGGUAUCCACUAGUGUAAAUAUUUUAAAUUGAAGAUCGAAUUCAAUCAUUGUAUUCAUAUAGGGUCAAGGAGUGUGGUUGUAAAAAAAUCAUCAAAAUCGGAGUUAAAAUGACCGUUAAAUCGUGAUUUUUUCGUUUAUAACCGUCGAAAAGUUUUGUCCCGUUACUUGAUCUCUGAAUGUUUGUUUUUUGUAAUUUUUUGACGUAUGCGAUCUCGAAGUAUAUACAAACAUGUUUGACGGUUGGAUCUUUGAAACUAGUUUCGUAGAAUGAGUAUCCCAUCAAAACAAUAGAUUCACUAAUACUUAAUAGUUUAUUCAUACUUUUAUUAAGUAUAACAUAAGAUUUUGUGGUAUCCACUAGUGUAAAUAUUUUUAAAUUGAAGAUCGAAUUCAAUCAUUGUAUUCAUAUAAGGUCAAGGAGUGUAGUUGUAAAAAAUCAUCAAAAUCGGAGUUAAAAUUGACCGUUAAAUCGUGAUUUUUCGUUUUAUAACCGUCGAAAAGUUUUGUCCCGUUACUUGAUCUCUGAAUGUUUGUUUUUUUGCAAUUUUUGGCGUAUGCGAUCUCGAAGUAUAUACAAACAUGUUUGACGGUUGGAUCAUUGAAACUAGUUUCGUAGAAUGAGUAUCCCAUCAAAACAAUAGAUUCACUAAUACUUAAUAGUUUAUUCAUACUUUUAUUAAGUAUAACAUAAGAUUUUGUGGUAUCCACUAGUGUAAAUAUUUUAAAUUGAAGAUCGAAUUCAAUCAUUGUAUUCAUAUAAGGGUCAAGGAGUGUAGUUGUAAAAAAAUCAUCAAAAUCGGAGUUAAAAAUGACCGUUAAAUCGUGAUUUUUCGUUUAUAACCGUCGAAAAGUUUUGUCCCGUUACUUGAUCUCUGAAUGUUGUUUUUUUUUUGCAAUUUUUGGCGUAUGCGAUCUCGAAAGUAUAUAUAAAACAUGUUUGACGGUUGGAUCAUUGAAACUAGUUUCGUAGAAUGAGUAUCCCAUCAAAACAAUAGAUUCACUAAUACUUAAUAGUUUAUUCAUACUUUUAUUAAGUAUAAUAUAAGAUUUUGUGGUAUCCACUAGUGUAAAUAUUUUAAAUUGAAGAUCGAAUUCAAUCAUUGUAUUCAUAUAAGGGUCAAGGAGUGUAGCUGCAAAAAAUCAUCAAAAUCAGAGUUAAAAUGACCGUUAAAUCGUGAUUUUUCUUUUUAUAACCGUCGAAAAGUUUUGUCCCGUUAAUUGAUCUCUGAAUGUUUGUUUUUUGUAAUUUUUUGACGUAUGCGAUCUCGAAGUAUAUACAAACAUGUUUGACGGUUGGAUCUUUGAAACUAGUUUCGUAGAAUGAGUAUCCCAUCAAAACAAUAGAUUCACUAAUACUUAAUAGUUUAUUCAUACUUUUAUUAAGUAUAACAUAAGAUUUUGUGGUAUCCACUAGUGUAAAUAUUUUAAAUUGAAGAUCGAAUUCAAUUACUUGUAUUCAUAUAGGGUCAAGGAGUGUAGUUGUAAAAAAUCAUCAAAAUCGGAGUUAAAAUAACCGUUAAAUCGUGAUUUUUCGUUUAUAACCGUCGAAAACUUUUGUCCCGUUACUUGAUCUCUGAAUGUUUUUUUUUUGCAAUUUUUGGCGUAUGCGAUCUCGAAGUAUAUACAAACAUGUUUGACGGUUGGAUCAUUGAAACUAGUUUUGUAGAAUGAGUAUCCCAUCAAAACAAUAGAUUCACUAAUACUUAAGAGUUUAUUCAUACUUUUAUUAAGUAUAACAUAAGAUUUUGUGGUAUCCACUAGUGUAAAUAUUUUAAAUUGAAGAUCGAAUUCAAUCAUUGUAUUCAUAUAGGGUCAAGGAGUGUGGUUGUAAAAAAUCAUCAAAAUCGGAGUUAAAAUGACCGUUAAAUCGUGAUUUUUCGUUUAUAACCGUCGAAAAGUUUUGUCCCGUUACUUGCUCUCUGAAUGUUUGUUUUUUGCAAUUUUUGGCGUAUGCGAUCUCGAAGUAUAUACAAACAUGUUUGACGGUUGGAUCGUUGAAAUUAGUUUCGUAUAAUUCGUAUCCCAUGAAGUUCAAUGGUGUGUGUGUGUGUAUAUAUAUAUUUAUUUAUUAAGUAGAUUUAAAUCUAUUUAUUUUGUAUGUAUAAUUAUUAUAGUUUUUAGGGGUAUAAAAUUUAAUAUAUAUAUAUAUAUAUAUAAAAUUAUUAUAGUUAAUUUUUUGGGUAUAAUUAUUAUAGUAUAUAUAAUUAUUAUAAUUAUUAUAGUUAAUUUAAUAUAUAUAUAUAUAUAUAUAUAAUUAUUAUAGUUUUUAGGGGUAUAAAAUUGUUAAAUUAAUAUAUAUAUAAUUAUUAUAGUAUUUUUUUAGGGUUAUAAAUUAUUAAAUUAAUAUUCUGCUUAUCGUGUAUCGUGUUACCCACGUGUAUACCCGAACAAACCCGUUAUCUUAACAGGUGCUUAUCGGGUUACCCGAUAACGACCCGUUUCGUUAUCGUGUCGACCCGAACACUUGUUAAUUUCGUGUCGUAUCGUGUCGUGUCGGGUUAUCGGGUCGUGUCAGGAAUUGCCAGGCUUAGGAGUACCCGAGAAAAUCCAAAGAAUAGAAAUCAAUCAGCUGACUUGAGCGUCGGAGUAUCUUUUGCAGGUACUCGCGCCAGACUGCGGAGGAAGAUUAUUUUGGGACAUCUCGAAGAAGGAUUCGGCGAACGUGAGGAUUGCGGUCAACAAAUCUGUGGAGGUAUUUCUUCUUGUAGGAAAUUUCACUCUAACACCAAUCCUCCAUCUCUUCUUAAGGUCAUACACAAGUGGAGACGGUUGCAAGGGGGUGCAUAUGUUAUGGCCCAGCAUUUUGGCCUUCGCUUUUGAAAAGCUAAUGAGGUGUCAAUAGCAUCUCUAAAAGAAGAUAUCAAAGAUAAAAACUUGCACGGAAGUUUUAUGGUGACACAAAGUGAAGAAAGUCGAGGUUGUCAGAAUUGGGUGACAUGGAGCACGUGUCAUGUGGCCAUUGGGCUUCACACGUGAGCCAACCUACUUUGAUACUGUGAACAAGUUGAGGUUCCAUCAUAAAAUCAAUUGGCAACUAUGAGGAGUAGCCCAACCUGCCAUUGCAAGGUUUCUCAUUUUACCGAUGUGAAACUCUUGUACCUUCACAUUUUCACAACUACUAUAUUGUGUUACUAAACAAUGUGCUAUAACUUGAGUGAAUUGGUAAAAAAAAAAACGAGAUAAUGUGAUGGUACCAGCGAAAAUUACUCGGCAUCAUUGUAUAUUUUCACUGACUGCGCCUCUAAUCAGUGUGGACCAGAAAGUCUCUGGCUGCUGCUGUUAAAAAACUUGGGUAGAAUAAAACAAGGACUCGGCUUCUACGCAAUCACUGAUCAAUUGAUCUCACACUCACAGUGAUGAAAAUGCAAAAAAGUCCUCGCGUUUUCAUCACCGUGAGAUUGAUCGCUUCACUGAUGCUCAAUUCUAAAAAGGGCAGUAUAUCUCAGUGAUGAACUUACAGAAGGGUGCAUCACGGUGACCUUAUUAAAAAACAAACUGAUGAGAUCGAUCAAACAAUGAAUAACACAAUCUGUACAAUCAGUUUAUAGAAACAGAAGAAGCGUCACCACCAUGCAUUAAGGUAACCAAUCUUUAGCUUUUGAAAAGAAGUGAGGAUCACUUUGAGUGGGGGUGCAUAUAGAGGGCCACCAUCUUUAGCUUUUGAAAAGAAGUAUUCAUUACUUUACUUACCUAGGAAGAAAUUUACGGUUUCAUCGUACCUGCAGAUUCGAAGCUCCGAAAUUAUGUAUAGCAUUAUGAGUUUAACCUCCAGCUAAUCAGGUGUUAAUAGAAUAUAAUCUCCAAAGGAUACAUAAAAGGCAACCUAAUGAGUUUGAUCAAUUUUGUUUAAUUUGGGUACAUAGGCCUCUAAUUAGUCUUUUAUAAGAGAGAGUGAUGCAUUUGAUAACUAACUGUGACUACAACUGAUACGGUCUACUGGAUUGCAAAAAAUACGAUCAGAGAAGAAAGGGAAGAAACCUGCAUUACAAAGUUAAUGACGAACAAAUGUUCAUUAAAUCUGUAGAAUAUUAAGAAAGUUCAACCUCCUCUAGAAUUUAAACAAAUGAGUAACAUCCCUAAAGCUUAAACAAGAUCUGACUUCUCCAAGGAAUUAGUUGAUCAAUUGUUGUCCAUUCCUAAUUAACGGUAUUAAAACGAAACUAGUAUAUUCAAACUUGCACACACACUCGCAAAUUCAACUCAACAACUAGUAUUCAAAUUCAACUCCUCGGUAAUAUUCUCAUGGUGACUCCAAGAUUGGUAAAUAAAGAAACGAUUGAAUCGCUAAGGGGGGAGAUCAGUUGUAAAUCAUCGGUGGUCAGAAGCUUGGCUGACUCCGUUACAAAGGCGCUCGCAACAUCCACGUGAAAUGUAAUCUCGCGACGCAUGGAAUUCGUGGACACUGGACAAGUGAUACCUGGGUAAUGACUGAAGAACUUUCUUGUGGCCGUGUUCAGUGUUGGCUUGGCAUUGUGAUCAAUUUGCAAUACAAGGUUCUUGCAAUGAGAUUCAGCUGCGUUGUGGGGAAGCAACAACAUUUCUCUACAUGCAUCUGACCGCAACUCACGUACUUCAAUUUCCUUCACACUUGAAUACAAAUUGUUCAUGCAUCCUAUGAGCAACCAAUAUUUUUAUCAAAAGAUUCGAAUUACUACCGCUAUGUGUUAUGAAAUACGUAAAGUACGAAGAAAAUAACAACAGUAACAACAAUCAAAUCUUAUCUUAUUAUAUAAAAAAGUUUUAUAAGUUUUAAAAUUUCAUUACGUUCGCUAAAAUAAAAAGAGUAGGCCGGCAUAAACUAUAGUGCGACAGCACAAAUUCCAAAUUAUUUUAGAACAAAAAUUAAAGCUAGAAUUCUCAGUGCCUUUUUGGGUAAAGUCGCCAAAGUAAGGACGAGACUUUCCGUUACCCAAAGACUCAAAACCAAACAAGCGUCUCUCUCUCUUCACUCUAUAAAACAACCAAACCGAGACUCUCCGUUGCCCAAUAGCAAAAGUGAGCGAGCCUCUGAUCGUAAGCUUCCUGUCUAUGUAAGUGGGUUUCUUCAAUUUUAACUUUUAGAUUUGAGGUUCAAGAUCCUAAUUCGAUUUAAACUUGCAUGCUGAAGACUUGGUUCGUGGUUGUGUUUGGCAGAUUGAGUUCGAGCUGGGCUGUAAGAAAGUGGUUCAAAUUGUUGGAUUUGGGUAAGAACCCUAUAAACCUGAACCGUAAUUGUAGCCAUCUUUCGAUUUCUAAGUGCUGGGCUUGAUUUCUGUGUGUUUUUUUUUAUGUGAAUUAUUUGAAGGUUGGAAAGUUUCGAACUUUUUCGCUGGAAUUUAAGUGGGUAAAAGUGUAUGAGGAAUUGGUUAGAAGAGAUUGUAAGUGUAUCAGAUAUGGGUUUUUUAAACCGCAUCAUAUUCGAAUUUGUGUUUCUUUUUUGGAUUUGAGUUUAUAUAUUUUCAGAUCUGAGUUAUUAUUUAUAUAUUUUCAUGAUCCCGAGUUUUAUUUUUUAUUUUUUAUUAAUAUUUAACUAAUAGGGCACGAUUACAAAAAUUGUUGGAAAAGUCAUCUGACAAGGUUGAACAGUAUUUUAUAUUGUUAACACGAAAAUUAUGUUAAAAACGUGAGUUAGCGGAGAGUCCGCAGCAUUUCUCUUGUGCUUAACUCUUUUGAGUACAAAACGCCAUAUUGUGCCCCUAUGAACAAUGUGCAUGAAUGCACAGGACCCAAAUAAUAUUUUAGUUGCUGCAGUGUUGCUAUAUAGGACAAAUAUAUUGGUGUCCUUAUCCUCGUACGGCACCUUUAACUUUUCGUUUGCAGUGCCCAUAUUUUGUAGUGGCACCGAAUAAUGAGCUCUGUAGAAAACUUCCAAAUUUCUUAUUCAUGAUGACGGUAGUAUGAGUUUUCUUCUUUUAGUAUUUAUCUCAUUGAAUUCAUAUAUAAGUUAGGCUUCAUUUCUUUUUAGCGUAUAAGCUCUUGUCCCUGCAAAGUGGUAGUCUCAAAUCAUUCAAUCCAAAAUAAUCUUGCGAGGUGGGAGUUCAGAGGUUAGUGAUGUGAACUAUUUUGAUCUGCAAGUGUGCUUGAUUUGUUGUUUUUCGUUACAACCGUACAAGAGUUAGAGAGUUAAGCGGAAAUAAAACAUAAACAUAAGAGACCGUUUCCCCCAAGAUUGGUUGAUUAGUCGUCUUGACUUGAAGCAGGUUCAAAAGAUCAACCGUAUUUUUUCACUAUCAUUUUUUAUGCAUUAGCAUAACAGGGGAUUGAGCAAAAACGAGUGGAUGGUUAGAAACACGAACAUAUGUAAAGAAUUUGUAAAUCCAACGUGAUAAAAUGUCUAAUCUUGAUCAUAUAUAUCAUGGUUUGCUGAAAAUUUCUUUGGAGGAUUGAUUCCUUUUUUAUUUAUUUUUUAGUAUAAUUCUAUUUGACUCACUUGCAUUUUCUUGUGGUAGUUGGUUAUUAUUUGAAUCUCUAUUUCCUGAGCAGGGAUUUAAUCCUAAUUCACAAGUAUUCAUUUCUUGUUCAAAAAAAAAAAAGAAGGUAAUUCUGUCAUUUACUGUUGGAUUUGAAUAGAGGAAUGAUACUUAUUCCAUUUCAUUAUUAUUCCUUGCAGUCCAUGGAAGAAAUAUCUGAAAACCAAAUUAGCUUGAAGGUGUUGGUGAACAAUUUGACCAACAAAGUCAUUUUCGCUGAGUGUGAUAAUGAUUUCAUUGAUGUUCUCUUCAGUUUCUUGACAAUUCCUAUGGGAACAAUUGUUAGGCUUUCCCAUCAUUCGCAAUCCUUUGGAAUUGGUUGCAUUGACAACUUAUUUGGAAGUGUUGAGAGUCUUGAUUUACAGCUUUUUCGAUCUAAAGAAUGUUGAGACAUGUUGUUACACCCUCGCAAUGAAGCUGAGGAUCUUUUGAGGAACCUGAAAUUGAAAUAUGAUCAAUGUGAGCCCCCGCGGUACUUUAAGUGUUCUAAUCGAUAUUGCCGCAGUUCUGCACAAAGGUUUAGUUAUUACCAAAAUGUUCAUUGUUGUUGUGGGGGUCUGAUGAACAUGGAGACCAUUUUUACAAC